UCCCUUGAGGCUUAGCUGGUAAAGAAUCUGCCUUCAAUGUGGGAGACCUGGGUUCGAUCCCUGGUAUGGGAA
Molecule: non-coding RNA, 72 nt
Organism: Bos taurus (domestic cattle)
Lineage: Eukaryota; Metazoa; Chordata; Mammalia; Artiodactyla; Bovidae
Source: Rfam